Molecule: RNase P RNA, 377 nt
Filed under: Myxococcales bacterium
Lineage: Bacteria; Pseudomonadati; Myxococcota; Myxococcia; Myxococcales
Description: RNase P RNA component class A
Rfam family: Bacterial RNase P class A
About the family: Ribonuclease P (RNase P) is a ubiquitous endoribonuclease, found in archaea, bacteria and eukarya as well as chloroplasts and mitochondria. Its best characterised activity is the generation of mature 5'-ends of tRNAs by cleaving the 5'-leader elements of precursor-tRNAs. Cellular RNase Ps are ribonucleoproteins.
Source: RNAcentral
GGAGCCGGACGGAAGGUCGCGAGGGUUUCCCUCGAGGAAAGUCCGGGCUCCUUGGGCCAGGGUGCUGGCUAACGGCCAGUCGGGGUGACUCGAAGGAAAGUGCCACAGAAAACAAACCGCCGGCUUCGGCCGGUAAGGGUGAAAAGGUGCGGUAAGAGCGCACCGCCCUCUCGGUGACGAGAGGGGCACGGUAAACCCCACCCGGAGCAAGACCGGUCGGGGAUCGCGGGGUGACCCGCCGGUGUGGCCCACACCGAUUCCAGAUCUCCAGUUGGUCGCUCGAGCCGCCCGGCAACGGACGGCCUAGAUGAAUGACCUUCUCCCGCGCCAGGCAACGAACGCGGGAACAGAACCCGGCUUAUAGUCCGGCUCCGACA